Molecule: ribosomal RNA, 464 nt
Filed under: uncultured bacterium
Lineage: Bacteria
Description: partial 16S ribosomal RNA
Rfam family: Bacterial small subunit ribosomal RNA
Source: RNAcentral
GACGAACGCUGGCGGCGUGCUUAACACAUGCAAGUCGAACGGAAAGGCCCUGCUUGCAGGGUACUCGAGUGGCGAACGGGGGAAUAACACGUGGGUGAUCUGCCCUGCACUUCUGGAGAAGCCUGGGAAACAGGGUCUAAUACCGGAGAGGAGCCAUUUUUAGUGUGAUGGGGGGGAGGUUUCUUCGGUUGGGGAUGGACUCGCGGCCUAUCAGCUUGUUGGUGGGGUGGUGGCCUACCAAGGCGGCGACGGGUAGCCGGCCUGAGAGGGUGGCCGGCCACAUUGGGACUGAGAUACGGCCCAGACUCCUACGGGAGGCAGCAGUGGGGAAUAUUGCACAAUGGGCGGAAGCCUGAUGCAGCAACGCCGCGUGCGGGAUGACGGCCUUCGGGUUGUAAACCGCUUUCGCCUGUGACGAAGCGUGAGUGACGGUAAUGGGUAAAGAAGCACCGGCUAACCACGUG